Molecule: ribosomal RNA, 600 nt
Filed under: uncultured bacterium
Lineage: Bacteria
Description: partial 16S ribosomal RNA
Source: RNAcentral
GAAAGGGGANCUGGGAACACCGUUUUUACCGGGCUCUAAAAUCCGGGGGGGGAAAACUUCAUGAGAUUAAUACCCCAUAAUAUGUUGGAUGGCAUCAUUCCGACAUUUGAAAACUUCCGGGUUGGGAAUACAAGAAUUGGGCACGCCGCCAAGAAUAAGAAUAAGGUUAGGGUGAAGGUAAACCGGGUUCCAACCAAAGUUCUAACGGAAUCCUUAAAGGGGGGCCUUGAAAAGGUUGAAUCCCCCAAAAUUGGGUUAACUUGGAGAACACGGGAACCCAAGAAAUUCUUAACGGGGAAGGCAACCCAUUUGAAGGAAUUAUUUGGGACCAAUGGGGUUGAAAAAGCCUUGGAAUUCCAAGCCUAUCCCCGGGGGUUGGAAAGGAACGGAAUUGGCCCCUUGAGUUUUAGGGGUUUUGGUAAACUUUUCCCUAUUUAGGCAUAAGGGGGUUAAAAACCUUAACCCUUCGUUAGAAAGGGUUAAACCUGAANGGGUUACCUAAAUAACGGGAAAUUAAAAGCCAACCGGGGGUUAAAANUUCCCCGGGUUNGCCCCAAGACAAACCCGGCGCGGGUAAACAAUUAACCCGGGAAAGGGGGU